Bos taurus (domestic cattle) is the source of this 1274-nucleotide long non-coding RNA. The record is from Ensembl. NCBI's taxonomy places the organism in Eukaryota, Metazoa, Chordata, Mammalia, Artiodactyla, Bovidae.
GUAGGCAUGGCCUCUUCUUUUACCAACCCAGGAAAACAUAACAAACCUAAGAAUAAAAGAAAAUUCUUCAGUCUUCUAAAGGGCCUUGAACAUCUCUGUGACUCUUAAAUGCUGAGAAACCCCCUUCAGGCCAGGGUGGUAUUUGCCCAGCUGGUGGGAAUGUCUGCAGCUCAAUUGAGUCAUUCUCCAGGCACUGACCUCAGGCCAAGAGGCUCCCCACACAGGGUCACACCCAGUCCCUGACGGCAGUCUUCAGCCAGUAAUUGGUAGAUAAGGGGUAUAAAGGCCAGGCCCCCUUGCCUGAAGAUAGACACCUUUGACCCCAGGAGGAUAUUGGCUGACAGCCUCCAUGUGUUGUACCUGCAGGAUCCAGCACCACAUUCACAGCCUAGGCCUCUCACCGUGACUGAUAGUGAGUGGACUUGAGGAGGACCAUUCUGGCCAGCGGGGACUCCUCACAGCUGACUCACCAGCCUGGUCAAUACUCUCUGAGCUGCUGCUUCCUUCCUGCUCUCCUUUUUCAGUUGUCAGACCCAUGUCAUAAUGUCAAAAGUUUCCUAGCUAACACCUGCUCUUGUUCACUUUAUCCUUCACAGGUGUUUCCUCCUAAUAAAACCUUGUACAUCUCCACUCCGUCACAGUAUCUGCUUUUCAGAGGAACUGAACUGAACAGUUGGUACUAGCAAAUGGUCUGAGAAGGCAGCCUCUAGGGCAGAGAGUGGAUUGCUCACUGGCCGGCAAGGAAAACCCCAACCUCAGUGGGAUGUGGGCCGCAAAUCGUCCCUGGCACAAGGUGGUGUCUCAGCUGCUGACUAUUUCACAGAUGAUGGCCUGAGGAAACAUACCCAGUGCAGAAAAUCAAGCUUACCUAUGCAAUGAAUGAGGCCUUUAAAGACACGAGAGCCAGCGCCUGCAAAGACAAGGGCUAGUCUUUACAAGUGAAUGGAAGCCCUUCAGAGGGAUAACUAGAAACUGAAGGCAGCUAAUGAGAAGUUCAAGGCUAAGUAUGAGAGCCAGUGUAUGCUUGUGGUGGUACUUCUUACAAAGCCAUCCUUAUCUCCCUGCAGUGGCAGAGAACACAGCUCAGGAGCAAUCACGGGACUUUGCAGAUUUACAACUGGGAGCCACAGAGAUGAUUAAACACUCUGUUACACUAAGGUCCGAGCCCUGAAACGUGGGAUGGGGACAUCUAGGUGGAUGUACCCCAGUAUUGAGGCUCAACACACCCCCAAUUCUGUGCUCACUGUCCUACCACCAGCCCCAAACUACAGAGA